This 807-nucleotide ribosomal RNA is filed under the name Triticum aestivum (bread wheat). RNAcentral describes it as "partial small subunit ribosomal RNA". Lineage: Eukaryota; Viridiplantae; Streptophyta; Magnoliopsida; Poales; Poaceae. The record is from RNAcentral.
AUGCCUUCCUGGAACGACGAGGAAAUGAGCACGGAGGAGGAGUGCGAGGUCGUCAGCAUGGACAUGGGACUUAUGGAGGAACCAGACACCACUGUGGAGCCCCUUUUCUGUGGCCAACUUGAGCUUGCUCAUCCCAAGUGCAUUCUGCAUCAAUUGAGGCCUAUUAAGCGUGUUGCUUUUGAAGGGCCUGUAACAGGAAGGCGUUUCUAUGGCUGCCCAGUCCAGGAAAAUUGUGUGAAUUGUGGUGUUGUAGAGUGGGUUGAUGGGCCUUGGCCAAAUGUUCUUCAGAGAUGUUUGUGCAAGCUAUGGGAGAUGUUCCAUGAGCAGAACUUUGGAAGGGUACAGGACAAGGAGAAGUUUGAGAAGGAGUUGGCCAGGCUUAAGAGUGGACAUGAAAGGGAGUUGGCCAAGCUUAGGACUGAAAAUGACAAGCUUUGCAUUGAGUACACCAAGCUUGUUGAUGAUGUAUCCAAGAUGUUUGAUUGGCAGGAUGGUAGGGUGGAUAAGAAGGUGUACCAGAAGCAAGUGGAGGAGGAAGAACUUGAGAAGAAGAAGGAGCUAGAGGAGAAAGCUAUGUUGGAGGUGCAGAUGGAAAAGCUCAAACUUGCAAAAGAGCAGAGGUGCAUUUUGCAGAGCCAAGCUGAUAUCAUCAAGAACACCAGGAAGGCUAUGAAGGCUGUUGAAGUUGACAGAGAUGUUCUUAAGAAGGAGAAGGCAAAGCUUGAGCUUGUUGUUGCUGAGCUGCUGAAAGAAGGGUAUGGCAGCAAGGAGAAGUUAGAGCAAAUCAAGGCCAUCCUUGAGUCUUGA